ACGUCUUGAUAGAAAGUGAUUAACCGGAAGUCUACAGGAACCAAACUACAACCUGCAUCAAUUUGAAGAGAUAGCUGCAGUUUUAUUUAUUUUUUUAAACCAUUCGCUGGUUAGUUAGCUCGUUUUUUGCUAUCCUUUUUGUUGUUGUUGGUAUUAUGCCUAAAUGAUGAAAUAGCGCAGCUGAACUCUUGAGUAUUAGCAAAUAUUCUCUGACUGAAAUCUGUGGAGCUGAUCUGCUGCAUGUUUAUUUAAUCUGCCUCGUUUUUCAUCUGAUACUGAGCAUGCCUGCUCCUUACCUUGAACAAAUUAGAAGAGCCAAGGAGUGGCAGGAUGCCAAAGUUACUUCCACUAUUACACCCACCUUGAAGAAGAUAUGCAUCAAAACAGUGAGUCGUCACAUGGAUGUACUAGACAAGAAAGCUCUUGACCUACCAAUCUCACUGAUCAAGGAGCUCCUGCAGCAUUUAAACAUUGUUGAUCUGGAUAGAAUUCAGCCUGCAGUGAACCGGAAAGGAAUCUCCACCUCCUUUGUGUGGGCAGGAAUAUUGAGAAGAAUCUCUGGGCCUCGCAAAGGGAGUACCAUACUCACCGAAGAUGAAUGGAGGGAGAUAAGCAUGCAUAAGCUCUUUAACUUGGCCUUCUAUGGCUUCAGGUUCGGAGGUGAUACAAAAUACCUCCUGAAUGUCGACUUUAACUCCCUUCUCUUAGUCAUGGCCAAAUACAUCCAGCACCUGGUUCUUCGAACAUCACGACCACACGGCUACUUCUUCGCGAGGAGGUCCGUUCUGAGCGUUCUGGAGAAGGGUGUAAGGUGCAUUCAACUGGGAGAGAGCACUCAGCUCAGAGAGUGGCCCAGUGAUGUCUUAUACACCCUGCACCGUUUACUGGACCACGGGGCAGCCCGUGAUGUCAUCAUAAACCAGAGCCCAGAUCCUCGUCUGCUGGCUUGGAUUCUUCAUGGCAGGGGACCUCGGAGUAAAAGCCACCAAUGUCCAAUGGAGUCCAUGCAAGGUGAGAUGGUCAAAUGUUGCCAGAUGCCAAACACUGCAGGAAGCAGCGCUGGAGAUGCUGAGGCAGCCAACUGCCAGGUCCCAGAGGAAGAGGAGCCUGAUGAAGAAGAUAAUAAUGGUGGGACCCCAUGCAAGCGUCCAAGGUUGAGUAUUGCCUCUGCGAAGGCAGAGCUUGACUUGACCAGCACUCCAUGCCAAUGUAUGGUCCCCAAGCCAUUGUGCCAGAUGUUUAUACCCUCGGCUGGUCACUCGACAGAGAUUUGCCACAAGGGGCAAAUCCAUUCACUAAAGAUCAAUGACUUCCGGGGUGGAGUCUUCCCUGUACUGCUUCCUCUCCUGCCUUCUUGGCUGUGCCUCCACUCUCUAAGCCUGCAAAGUGCUUGGACCUUUGAGGAGGGUGAUGCGUUGAGCCUGGCAGAGUCUCUCCAGCAGCUGUCUGCUACACCAGGCUGCUCCCUGAUUGAGCUGAGUGUGGGGUCCCUGACCCAUCCUGCUCUCAUGGAGUCCCUGCUGAAUGCAUGCCCCACCCUCAGGUCAUUCUCCAUGGAGAUCCACCCUGUAGCAGAGUACCACAGAGCCCCACUGAGAAGCAUUCCCCAGCCUGCACACCAUGCAGAACUCUCACUGGAGAAGCUGUGUGUGAAAGUACCCAAAUUGAGGACCAGUGUGGAGAGUCUGAUGUGUGUGUUGCUACGCUCUCCUCGCCUCACCUCACUUCACGUCUCAGGAAUCAAUAGCUCAACUGGCUUCUCACCCAGCCACCUCCUCAACACAGUGGCAGAGUCCAAUCGCCACCUGAAGGACCUCACCUUGGAGGAUAUCAACCUGUCUGAUUGUCACGCUGCAAUCUUCCAGCUACUGGAUAACUACUGUAUGUUGGAAGGACUGUCGGCUUCUGGAGAAAUGCAGUGACAAGGAAGAUGUCGUCCGACAGCUGGUUAAUUCUCUCAAAAAGGUUCCAUCUCUCCAGUCUCUCAACCUGGCUCAAAACCGCCUCGCCAAGACUGUGACAGUUUUGGGGGAACUCUUCAAAGGACCCUCACCAAGCACAGUGAAAGAGCUGGACAUCAGGCAAGUAGCUGCUAUAAGCAUUUCAGUAGGCUAUUUUGGCAUUUUGUGAAGAGGCCUAAUUUGUCUUAUAAGAGUUGGACUCUGUCCCUAUUCUCCACACUUCCCCCAAAGUGUGCGCAAGCAAACUCCCCGUCAUGGAUUGGUGUAAGCAACCACUGUUAAAUCCAUGAUGUAGAGUGUACAACUGCAGACUUUGAGAGAAGGGUGGCAAAUUGGAACGUAGCCAUUCUGUUUCUUGUAUUUCCUGUCUUUGUCGUUGAUAGCUCCAACUUCAUCCAGCCUCCUGAGCUGCUAGAGUUAGGGAAGUUGUUGGAGACCCACCGUCCUCCCCAGAGACUACUCCUCACCCUGAAGAGCAACCCACUGGACAGAAACAUGGAGCUGAGGGACACGGCUCUGGGCACGCUCAGUCACCUUUGUGACCUCAUCACCGACCACUGGAACUCCAGGGACACCAUGGCUGACCACAUCAGCAUCAUGUGAACUAGGUCUUAGGUCAUGCGAAUGGAGUAGGGUGAAGUUGCCUCUAGGUGCUGAUCUUGGGACAGUUUUGUGAGGAAGAGGAAGCUGUUCCUAGACCUCUAGAUAGGGGAACCUUCACCUCGUAAUCCUGCAAAUUCUGGGUUGUGUUCAUUAGUAACACUAAAACGUUUUGCAAUGGAAAAAAAUAUGAGCAUUGUUUAUUAGACAAGAACAGAUAGUACUUCCCUGUUUCACUCCAGUUCGGACCAACUGAACAUGACCCUGGAUAAAAUGUUGUUCCUUAACCUGAAGUGAACAAACAUUUGCUGCUACCCAAGAGAAGUUCCUGGAAAUCGAAAUUGCUUCAGUUUUAAGUCUUUUGUAAGGAACUUUUGUAAGGAACAAUAUUUUCCAGUUUACAACACAUAUAUAUGUUGCUGUUUUGUAUGACAAGGCUGUUGCAGGCCUAAUAAGCCAAAAACAAUGUGUUACAUAAAUACACGUGGCCUUAUAUUUGGCAUUUUAAAUUGUGAAAUAAUGGCAUAAGAGCUUAUUCAGCAUAUUUAUUGUUAAUAUAUUGUCAUGUUUGUAAUGCAGCAUCUGCAGCCCUUAAAAAUCAUGUUUGUUGUUUUUUGGGUCAUUGACCUAGAACAGGGAUAGGCAACUGCGGAUCAGUUGCUGAGUCACUCAAUUAGCCGAUGUCAUCAAAACAUUUUUAGAUUUCUGGCUAGACUAACUUACCAAUCUAAUCAUGGUCAAAUUACUGACCGGGGGGACCCCAUUUGAUUUUGUAACUUGCAGUCUGAUAUCAUAUUAAAACUGCAAACAUUUGUGAUGGAAAGUUGUAUUGUUUGUGCUUUUCUAAUAACCAAUUUCUGUCUUCGAUGUUUGUGCUUUUCUAAUAACCAAUUUCUGUGUUCGAUGUUUGUGCUUUUCUAAUAACCAAUUUCUGAGUUCAUGCAAGUAAGUGACUGAACGAAUCCUCACCAUCAGUAUCUGCAAUUUGGAGGUACGCUCAGAACCUUGUUUUGAGAAAUUUUCAAGGUCUCAGCUUGGAGAAAAUAAGCCUUGUAAGGUAUUGGUCUGUCCCAUGCAUGAACCAAACAUUAAUUAUGAAUUUAUUAUGAAUAAGCUAAAUCAUGCAAUUAUAAUUUGUAAGCAGUAUAAAAGAGAUCUAACGGGACUGCCCCGAUAGAGUUCCGUUAAGACCGGUACUUUAUGCAUCUACAUUUGACUGUGACCUCUCCAGCUUCCUGUUAAUAAACAAUGAUUCAUUUAAGA
Oncorhynchus mykiss (rainbow trout) is the source of this 3824-nucleotide non-coding RNA. Lineage: Eukaryota; Metazoa; Chordata; Actinopteri; Salmoniformes; Salmonidae. The record is from RefSeq and is a predicted model, not a curated record.